Molecule: ribosomal RNA, 597 nt
Filed under: Penicillium echinulatum
Lineage: Eukaryota; Fungi; Ascomycota; Eurotiomycetes; Eurotiales; Aspergillaceae
Description: eukaryotic LSU rRNA
Rfam family: 5.8S ribosomal RNA (bases 217-369)
Source: RNAcentral
GGCUUUCUAUUUCAGUAGGUGGACCUGCGGAGGAUCAUUACCGAGUGAGGGCCCUCUGGGUCCAACCUCCCACCCGUGUUUAUUUUACCUUGUUGCUUCGGCGGGCCCGCCUUAACUGGCCGCCGGGGGGCUCACGCCCCCGGGCCCGCGCCCGCCGAAGACACCCUCGAACUCUGUCUGAAGAUUGAAGUCUGAGUGAAAAUAUAAAUUAUUUAAAACUUUCAACAACGGAUCUCUUGGUUCCGGCAUCGAUGAAGAACGCAGCGAAAUGCGAUACGUAAUGUGAAUUGCAAAUUCAGUGAAUCAUCGAGUCUUUGAACGCACAUUGCGCCCCCUGGUAUUCCGGGGGGCAUGCCUGUCCGAGCGUCAUUGCUGCCCUCAAGCCCGGCUUGUGUGUUGGGCCCCGUCCUCCGAUUUCCGGGGGACGGGCCCGAAAGGCAGCGGCGGCACCGCGUCCGGUCCUCGAGCGUAUGGGGCUUUGUCACCCGCUCUGUAGGCCCGGCCGGCGCUUGCCGAUCAACCCAAAUUUUUAUCCAGGUUGACCUCGGAUCAGGUAGGGAUACCCGCUGAACUUAAGCAUAUCAAUAAGCGGAGGAA